GCCCGGUGCUGGAAGGUUAAAAGGAGAUGUUAGUCGCAAGGCGAAGCUUUGAAUUGAAGCCCCAGUAAACGGCGGCCGUAACUAUAACGGUCCUAAGGUAGCGAAAUUCCUUGUCGGGUAAGUUCCGACCUGCACGAAUGGCGUAACGACUUGGGCACUGUCUCGGCAACAUGCUCGGCGAAAUAGUAGUUCGAGUGAAGAUGCUCGAUACCCGUAUCUAGACGAAAAGACCCCAUGAAGCUUUACUGCAAGUUGACACUGAACUUUGAUUUAACAUGUGUAGCAUAGGUGGGAGACUUUGAGAGGGGGGCGCAAGCUUCCCUGGAGUCGUUAGUGAAAUACCACUCUUGUUGUAUUGAAGUUCUAACCUAGAGCCGUGAUCCGGUUCAGGGACAAUGUCUGCUGGACAGUUUGACUGGGGCGGUCGCCUCCCAAAUUGUAACGGAGGCGCCCAAAGGUUCCCUCAGCGCGGUUGGAAAUCGCGCUUACGAGUGUAAAGGCAUAUGGGAGCUUAACUGCGAGACAGACAAGUCGAGCAGGUGCGAAAGCAGGGCUUAGUGAUCCGGCGGUACCUCGUGGGAGGGCCGUCGCUCAACGGACAAAAGCUACUCUGGGGAUAACAGGCUGAUCUUGCCCAAGAGUUCAUAUCGACGGCAAGGUUUGGCACCUCGAUGUCGNNUGAGACAGUUCGGUCUCUAUCUGGUACGGGCGUAGGACAUUUGAGGGGAGCUUUCCCUAGUACGAGAGGACCGGGAAGGACGUAUCUCUGGUACUCCUGUCAUCCUGCCAAGGGUGGUUGCAGGGUAGCUAUAUACGGACGAGAUAAACGCUGAACGCAUAUAAGCGUGAAACUUACCCCAAGAUGAGAUGUCCCGGGACAUAAGUCCCCUAAAGGCUCCACGUAGACUACGUGGUUGAUAGGCUGGGUGUGUAAGGCCCGCAAGGGUUUAAGCUGACCAGUACUAAUCCGCCGUGAGGCUUGAUCAU
Molecule: ribosomal RNA, 987 nt
Filed under: candidate division FCPU426 bacterium
Lineage: Bacteria; candidate division FCPU426
Description: bacterial LSU rRNA
Rfam family: Bacterial large subunit ribosomal RNA
Source: RNAcentral